GACGAAGGGGGCUAGCGUUGUUCGGAAUUACUGGGCGUAAAGCGCGUGUAGGCGGUUGCCCAAGUCGGGUGUGAAAGCCUUGAGCUCAACUCAAGAAAUGCACUCGGUACUGGGUGACUAGAGGACCGGAGAGGGAAGCGGAAUUCCCGGUGUAGUGGUGAAAUGCGUAGAUAUCGGGAGGAACACCAGUGGCGAAGGCGGCUUUCUGGCCUGCUCUUGACGCUGAGGCGCGAAAGCUAGGGUAGCAAACGGG
RNAcentral lists this ribosomal RNA (253 nucleotides) under uncultured bacterium. Its description in RNAcentral is "partial 16S ribosomal RNA". It matches the Rfam family "Bacterial small subunit ribosomal RNA", at positions 524 to 776 of the family's 1533-position model. The record is from RNAcentral.